GACGAACGCUGGCGGCGUGCCUAACACAUGCAAGUCGAACGGAGAUAUGCGAACGAGGCCUUCGGGCGGAGAUUGCAUAUUUUAGUGGCGGACGGGCGAGUAACGCGUGAGCAACCUGCCCUUCAGAGGGGGAUAACGGCUGGAAACGGCCGCUAAUACCGCAUGACAUAUACACAAGGCAUCUUGAGUAUAUCAAAGGAGGAAUCCGCUGAAGGAUGGGCUCGCGUCCGAUUAGCUGGUUGGUGAGGUAACGGCUCACCAAGGCGACGAUCGGUAGCCGAACUGAGAGGUUGAUCGGCCGCAUUGGGACUGAGACACGGCCCAGACUCCUACGGGAGGCAGCAGUGGGGGAUAUUGCACAAUGGAGGAAACUCUGAUGCAGCGACGCCGCGUGGGGGAAGAAGGUCUUCGGAUUGUAAAACCUCAGUAGUCAGGGAAGAAGCAAGUGACGGUACCUGAAGAGUAAGCUCCGGCUAACUACGUGCCAGCCCGG
This 493-nucleotide ribosomal RNA is filed under the name uncultured bacterium. Its description in RNAcentral is "bacterial SSU rRNA". It matches the Rfam family "Bacterial small subunit ribosomal RNA", at positions 28 to 520 of the family's 1533-position model. The record is from RNAcentral.